GUAGGGGGCGAGCGUUGUCCGGAAUCAUUGGGCGUAAAGAGCUCGUAGGCGGCUCAGUAAGUCGGGUGUGAAACCUCCAGGCUCAACCUGGAGACGCCACCCGAUACUGCUGUGGCUAGAGUCCAGUAGGGGAGUGUGGAAUUCCCGGUGUAGCGGUGAAAUGCGCAGAUAUCGGGAGGAACACCAGCGGCGAAGGCGGCACUCUGGGCUGGUACUGACGCUGAGGAGCGAAAGCGUGGGUAGCAAACAGGAUUAGAUACCCUGGUAGUCCACGCCGUAAACGUUGGGCACUAGGUGUGGGGCCUUUCCAACGGGUUCCGUGCCGUAGCUAACGCAUUAAGUGCCCCGCCUGGGGAGUACGGCCGCAAGGCUAAA
This 375-nucleotide ribosomal RNA is filed under the name uncultured bacterium. RNAcentral's name for it is "bacterial SSU rRNA". It matches the Rfam family "Bacterial small subunit ribosomal RNA", at positions 527 to 898 of the family's 1533-position model. The record is from RNAcentral.